AUCAAAUCAGAAGGUGCAUGUACAAACUCCACAUAUAUGUUAUUUGUUAUUAUUUAAUUGUAGGAAAGUUUUACUAUGAUAAAUUUUUGAAUAGACUCAUUGUACCAAUUAAUAGUAGAGUUCUUAUCUCACUUCAAGUAAAAAUUUUCAACUCUUAAUUUUAGGAGAUCCAAGAAAAAUUCAUGAUAUAUAGAGUUGUCAGAGGGUUCCCUAUUUUUUCUCUCAUUUUUGUGUGUUGUUCCGCUUUGUUUUGCCGGCCAGCGGCUCCCUCUGCCCCUCAA
RNAcentral lists this unclassified non-coding RNA (281 nucleotides) under Hevea brasiliensis (rubber tree). Lineage: Eukaryota; Viridiplantae; Streptophyta; Magnoliopsida; Malpighiales; Euphorbiaceae. The record is from RNAcentral.